This 481-nucleotide ribosomal RNA is filed under the name uncultured bacterium. Its description in RNAcentral is "partial 16S ribosomal RNA". It matches the Rfam family "Bacterial small subunit ribosomal RNA", at positions 28 to 507 of the family's 1533-position model. The record is from RNAcentral.
GACGAACGUUGGCGGCGUGCUUAAUACAUGCAAGUCGACUGAAGCAGCGGUAGCAAUAUCGCUGUGGAGGUGGCGCCCGGGUGAGUAACACGUAGGUAAUCUGCCUUCAGGUCUGGCUUAACUCCGGGAAACCGGGGCUAAUAGCAGAUGAUGCAGCGGCUCGACAUCGAGACGGUUGGUAAAUCUAUGGCGGCUGGAGAUGAGCGUGCGUCUGCUUAGCUGGUUGGCGGGGUCACGGCCGACCAAGGCAACGAUCAGUGGCUGGUCUGAUGGGAUGAUCAGCCACAGUGGAACUGAGACACGGCCCAGACACCGACGGGAGGCAGAAGUAAGGAAGAUUGCGCAAAGGGAGAAAUACUGAAGCAGCAACGCCGCGUGAGGGCCGAAGGGCUUUUGCUUGUAAACCUGUGGAGUGAGAGAAAAAAAUCCCAAUCAGUGGGACAUGAUGGUACCUAAAAAGUAAGCCCCGGCUAACUACGUG